Molecule: long non-coding RNA, 5695 nt
Organism: Rhopilema esculentum
Lineage: Eukaryota; Metazoa; Cnidaria; Scyphozoa; Rhizostomeae; Rhizostomatidae
Source: RefSeq, a predicted model, not a curated record
AUUGCAGACUGUUAUCAAUAUCGAGUGAUAGAGCACACAAAACAGCAGCUGGGGCGUGUUGUACAGCUGGUCUCUCCGACAACAUCUGAUAUGUAUGGCUGGUUUGUGGGAAAACAAGCAGGGAAUCUUCAAGAGAAUAUUUCCUGCUGCAGUGUUGCAGACAGCGUUAGAAUAGAGGACCAAAACUUCAUUUGGGGUUUAGGUUUUCGUCGCCCAGAUCCUUGAUCCUUUUGCUUUUGCUCACAUGGGACAGACAAAUACUUUUAAAGAUUUGUAUCUCCUAUUGAUUUUCUUUUUAAAAUUCGAAGUACAUAUUUGUAAGCAAGAAAUCAAAAUAAAUGAAAUGAAAACUAAGCAAAAUACAGAACUUUGGAAAAAUUAUUAAUUUAUCAUCUGAACAAGAAAAUUAUCUAAGUUCUUCAGUGUGGGGUAGCCUAAAAAAGCAUUCACAAAAAACCAGAAGUUUCAAUAACUAUUUUGAUUCUAAACCUGCUGAAGUGUAGAGAUAAUCUGGGGAGGGGGGGGGGGAAUUUUAGAUAUGCUUUCUAAGGGUGGAAGUGGGCCCUGCUGGCAAAGACCUACUGGCAACAAAACAUUGGGGAACCUAAUCCCUUAUAAUUUACCUUUCCGUCCCCAAGAUAAAUGUACAGCUUAAAAGUUGACCGAGAUAAAGAAUUUUUCUUUUCUUGCAGAGAGCCCGCUAUGGACUCUUUUUCGCUAACAAGAUGUCUUAUUGGAUUAUCAAUUCAUUCUUAUUAGAUUAUUUCAUUCCAAAUGUAAUUAGCCAGCUUACUUAAGUAGAUUAUUUAGAUUUUUUCAAACCUGGACAAAAUUUCUGUCUUUUCCAACGAAAAAAUAAACGCUUCAGUUAAUCGCCUAAAACAAAAGUAAAAAAAACUAAAUAACCCAGUAAGGACAAAGCGCAGAAAUUGGUGCCUGCUCUGCUACCCUGUAAAUAAAGGCUAUCCGUACAUAUACAAGUAGAAACCUGCAAUCUUUCGCAAUCUCAUGUUGUUAUUUCUAUCCAUUUGAAGAUGUUGUUCAGCAUAUCCUCUAAGCAUUAACUUUUCAAGAAUAGCGAAAAAGCCUUAAAAUUGUCUGGAUUUUUAAGUCCUAUGAAUAUAAACAACAACUGCAUCAUAACAUAAUACUGUUUAGAGAUACACCGGUAAAGGUCAAAGUACAUAUUGCGCAUCUCAACGAAAAAAUAAGCUACAACACGGUCAUGACAUAGAAAAUGCUCUUUUGGAACAAAUGGGGUUUGCCAAGACCUGAAAUAUCCUCUAGGGGGUGAAAUUUCACACCGUAGUUCAAGAACGGUUUAAACAAUCGACCAAUUUAGCUAGCUUCAAGUUUAUAUCGACAAGUAAAGGUGCAGCGAGGUUAAGUUGUUUCUUUAUUUAGAGCUAAGCAGGUUUCAGUUUCAUUGCACAUGUGUGUCCUUUUCCAACAGGAUUCACAGUCUGCCAGUUUUGCCAUAUUUAUCAUGCAGUCUCUUUCCUUGUUGGAUGUUUGCCUGAAUUGUCUUAAACAUGUAUGCAAAAAGCGAAAGGGCAACUGUCAAUCUUAUUUGGAAAUAAACUGGUUAUGAAACAUUAUUCGAAGAUGUAAAAGAAAUAGGGACUCUAACGAGCGAUCAAAUACACGAUAAAGUUCCUCAGGGUUUAGGUUGACGACAUCAUUGUCUCUCGGAGGGGCGGAUUCUCACCGUUCUCCGGAUGUUCUCACCGUUCUCACGUGAAAACGUCAUUUUUUUCGAAAAACGAAAUUGCGAAAAUGAAGGUUAAAAUAUUCAAUUUUACUCCAAAGACAACCUCCAAUACACGCAGACAGUGUCAUCGUAAGGUUGCAUGGCCUGAUGAUGCGUAGGAGCCAGUUUGAAGACAAUCUGAUUGAGAUUCAAAUUCCUCUCAAUCUGAACCAUUGUUUCAUCUUUGAAAUAAAUUGAGCAGUUGUUUUGCUAGCCAAUGAAAGUGCAGAAUUUUCGUUUUAAACCAAUGAAUUGGUGAGAACUCAAAAUAAAUUAAUUUCGUGCGCGAAUCGAAAAAAACAAUCAAAGUUUGUCUUCUAUCGUUUCUGGUGAGAAACUCUGACGUAGCUCACAGGCUGGACGAUUCAAUUCAAUCGAGUAAAAUACAAUAAACAAAGCCCGCGAAAAUCGCUGUAAAUCAAAGGUAGAAUGUCUCAAAGAUGUGGAAACUUCUCUAGGUUCCUGCUAUCAAUCAUAUAUUUUCUUCUUGAACUAAGAAUUAUUUGGGUGGCAAUUGUUCAAGCUUGUAAUAGUCGUGAAGUUAUACCAGAAUGUUUGUUUUCCUUUGCUGUGCAAGGUUUCAGGAACACAAAUUUAUUCUCCAAUCAGAAGCGUACAUGUUUAAUUGUAAGUUGGAGAACAUACAUGUUGCUGUAAGAAUUGAAAAAAAUUAACAGCUUUUCGAAAAUUGACAAUAGCCUGUUUUAAUCACUAAGAGAUGAAAUUAUGAAUGUAUGAAUUGCUAACGUAUGACAAUUGGUUCUGGAGCUUUAAUUAACUAAUAUAUACCUUCGCGAUAAAGUUUUAGUCUUAAAACUACAUGUGUAAAAAUGCGAAGUUCUAAACUUUCUAGAGCUUUCUCUAAAUUUAUAUCUUUAAAACGUUUGAAGAGCUCACUACGAUGCUAGUUAAGCUGUUGAUCUAUGUUAUUGCGAAUCUUUAAUUUGACACAGAGGUGGUUGUAACCAUCUGCCAAUCACAACUAACCAUUAGGCGUGAUGUAGCUGAUUGGCCAAUUGUUGAAUUACAGAUGGCCUAACCCACUUCAGUUUCUGCCAAUUGUCCCCAAUCAAAGGAACCUUAGUCAUGGAGCAUGGAAUUAUCAGAAAUAUUAUUUUUUUAUUGUCAGAUGCGACAUUCGUCUUUAUAAGAAAACAACCUCGGUAUUAACAGCUUCUUAGUUCUUUGUUGAAUUCAAUGCUUAAAGUUUCUCACAAAGGUUUCUAAAUUACCAAAUGCCAAAAAGUUUCCUUUUAGAAACACUAAAACGAAACAAAUGGAACACCUUAUAAGUCCUAAGGAGCUGCUUUUUUAAUUUCUCUGUCAAUGAAACAGGGUGUGUGUCUAAUCGUCGAAAAGAAUCAUUUCCAAUACCUCUCUUAAAUGAAGAUUUUCGAGCAGUUUCUUAGAAUUGAGCGUGAUCCGUACAAUGGUUUCUUAAUAUUUUAGUUAUCUUGUGGCUUGGUUGCUUAAAGACUGAAUUACAUAAAAAUGAGUGUACUGUUUGCAAGCAAUAUAGGUACAUUGUAAUAGAUUUCAAGUAGAAAAAAACGUGAAUUUGACAAAAAACAAAAUAUAUUCAGCAGCAGUGUCAAAAUUCUAUGCAACUAUAGUCAUUUCCCUCCCCUUCUUCAAAUCGAAGCAAAGAAAGCCUUGUUCAACGAUAGCUUCUUCAAUGGCCUAAAACUAGGCACAUUCUUGUUGCUGUUUCUGUUUUCGUUGAUAUUUUUGUUGCUGUUGUUGUUAUUCUAAUUGUUCAUUUGAUUUUUGAUCACAUACAAAAUUGUCUAUUAACAGUUAAGCCGGGUUCUGCCGGACUCUAUCAACAGAUAAUCGAACGAUUCAUAAUCUUUUUGAAGAGUUGUUAGGCUAGAUUAAGUCUGAUGGAUCUUGUUUGAUUGCUGCCAUGUUCGGUCCGAACAUGGCAGUUCCACGAUUGCUGCAAUUCCACGUUCUUCAAUAUCACCUAUUUUUUUCGAUUUUCAACUUUUUUCUUCCUGUUGUCCAGUUUUCAUUAUAAUAAAGAUUGCAUCUCGCAGAUAGCUGUCAGGGCAUUCGCAUGGGAGAAUAAUUAAAAUAUGUAGAAAGGUGCCUAAUAAGUUUGCAUCUGAAUAUUUCCUUCAAAGUGACACAACUUUCAGUUUUUUGUUCGGUCUUCUUUCUGGUUGCACAAGCAAGGAUGAUUUUAAAUAACCGCAACAUGCGUUUGUAAAUCGCAUCAACGAGGUUGACCUUACAAAAGCUGUUUAGCUUACGAUAUAGAAUAAUCAGAUGACUUAGUAAGAUUAUCUGUUUUCCCUGGAACUGUUGAAAUUCCACAUAUUACUUAAAACUUUGUUAUCUAACAGUCACGGAACGCGAAUGCUAUUGACAAAGUUGAAGGAGAACUCAAAACAACAAUCUAAAAAUGACAACCAAAGUUCGUAUAAGUGAUUAUGCGGCUGCUUUAACUUCACAACCUACCAGCAUGGUGAUGAUUAAGAAGCAAACAGCACUGGAAACGAAGAACCGACCAAGAUGACAGAAUUACAACUGUGAGCAUGUUAGUCCAAUUAUAACACAUCCCAAGCCAAUCAACGAAAAAGUAGCAUGUUCUUAGCUUGCUCUCUUAAAAAAUAGGUUUCUUCUUGCAAAAAUCUGAGAUGAAAGGACAUUGACCAAAGAAGAUAAUUUUCUCGACCGGAUGUUGUUAUGCCUCUUUUAUUAACUUUCACUGCAUCGAUGACGCUUUUCAUAAAUUCUUAUGCUAUCGUUAACUUUGAUGUUUUGAUGGUAGGUGAUGUCUUUGUAGGUGAUGGCAAAAAUACAGCAUUGGUAUUUUGUAACAUAUAUUCUUUGCAAUAGAGAGUUCUUUUAUCUGUUACUUCUCCAGCAAUAAACAACUUAUGCAAUAUUGUUGAAGAAGUAAGAAUUUUUAUCAUUUUAUGAACAUAAAGAAUGUUAUGAAAUAUUUUUUCGCAAUAACAAAAUGGUGUUAUUCGGUAAAAGCUUCCCAGAGGCUGUUGGCUGACACUCAACUAGUUGCCAAGAAAAGAACCUGUGAGGAAAUGAAUCUCUUACCGUUUAAUUCUGACAUAUACAUGACUUAGGACUAUUUUAGGCAACAUAGUUUCUAUUGAGGGAUCCACGAGUUUGUCAAAGAGUGCUCGAUACAUAAUAGAUUGAUUCCCAAGAAUCGAUUCUUUUUCAUGUGAAAAAUGCUGUACAGUAUUUUUCCGCAAAAGAGGAACCUACUUUUCAAAAACCCGGCUCCUUUUGGGACUUGUUUUAAAGUGCAUAUAUAAAUGGCAAGUUCAACGCUUAUUUCAUUACGUUCUUAGCACUGUAUUUUGCUGGUAAAGCGGGUCGGCGAUGCUUCAAAAUCCCUUAUUGUAUAAAAAUUUUCCGAUGCAUCGAGCAAAAACAAGUUACUUAUAACAAAUGGCCUAACCAUAGAAAGACAGUUUGUAGGUUCUUCUUUGCCGAGAUCUGUGGUAUGACAGAGAGGUAUAAAGAUCUAGCUAACAAAUGUGGACUGUUUGUAUGACAUAAAGCCAUGCUAGCCUUUAUUUUCAGAAUUAUUAAGCAUGUGCCUGCCAUGCACUUUCGCGCAGUUGCAAUCCACGUGUCAAGGGACUCCAUUGAAUUCCUUCGACAAAAGCUCCUUCGAGAAACACCCCUCUGAUUGAUUCCUCUCUACAUAAAUCUACUUACACAAGCCUAUGAACGCGAUCAUCUGUCAAAAACCCAGUUUUCAAAUCUUCCUAAAGUCAGAUUUCUUUAGCUUUAAAAACAGUUUCUAUGAUCUUAAUUGUAAUUGAACAUCUCUUUAUUAGUUUUUAUUCAUCAAUCUGGUGUCAUAUUAACCUUACUGUCACUGCUCAUUGUAUUGACCAAAGUAAUAAUAUUAAUGUUUAGUUUAAGAAAAUGCUCUUUUAUUUAAUAGAAUUCGUUUUAAGAAUUUCA